ACAGAUUAUCCCUUGGGGCACCCAUAAACUGAGAGGGCUAAAAAAAAAAUAAAAAAAAUAAAAAAAUUAAAAUAAAUAAUAAAUAAAAAUGCCUCACCCUAUAUCCCUGAUGGAGAAGGAAAUGGAUUAGGGCUUUGGAGGAGGAGAAUGUGGGACGAUUAUUGGCCAUGAAAGAUUUGAAGGCACCAUUGGUAAAAGUAGUGGGAACCACUAAGUGUCAGAUAAAGAUGAUGUAAAUUGUUACAACCGGGCCGACAAAAGACUACAAACAUGGCCGCCGCUCACAAACUUACCGGCUACAGCGCCAUCUUCAGGUUGGAUGCCGUCAUGACCGAGGGUAUGCAGGCCCCUCAGCAAAUGUUACCCACUUAAGGUGAACCCCAAGGAACAAAGGGGAAUGAAAAGGUGGAGAGUUGAAAAUGAACAAGAAAAAGAAGGCAUGUGGACAUUAUAUUAUGAACUAUUGUGGUGGAAGUCAUUCUUCUUAAAGUCAAGCAGAAUUGAAGGAGGUGGUGGGAUUGUCAUUUAUUUCCAACCCCCGAUUCAGCAAACAGUUGGUCUCUGCGGUCAAUGUCAAUGAACAAGGCCCCUGGUUGAAAAGACUGAAAUAAGUGAUGAACUGACACAAGUAAAGUAAAAGCUGUCGGAGAUGGACCAGGAAGAAGGACCCUUUAAACCUGAAGACAAGGUGUAUGUAUGAGUUUUCUAAAUCACCGACCGAUGUUCGUUUAGAAGGUUGAGAUACCUAGUACGAUUUCAAUAAUUACAUGAGGGCUGGCCCACAGGUACGAAUAGACAAUAGCCCUGAGGUAAUUGAACAGGAGGACAAAGAAGAGUAGAGUUUUAACAAGAACUUGUUUGACAUCAGUGGUGGGAAAUAAUGGAAAGGAUACUAAAGACAAUAUUAUAGGAAUUUGGAUAAGUGGGAUAGGAUUAGGAAGAAUUAGCAUGGAUUUGUGAUUGUGACAUUUGACUAAUCUUGAUUUUUCUUAAAAGAGGUUAUUAGGAAAAUUGAUGAGGUUAAAGUGGUGAACUUCAGUAAGGCCUUUGACAAAGUUCAAUAAAGGAAAUAAGGUUGGUUAAGAAGUGGUUAGUAAGGAAUAGCAAGAUGGAUUAAAAGUGACUGUUGGGAAAUGUACAGAGAGAUUUAGGUCAUUUGGAAGACUGGGUUGAAACAUGACAGAUGGAUUUAAUGUUGAUAAGUGUGAGGUGAUACAACUUGGCAGGACAAAUUCAAAUUAGACUUACAUGGUAAAUGAUUGUGAAUUGAGGAAUGAAGUUGAACAGAGGGAUCUAGGAACAACUGUGUAUAAUUCCCUGAAGGUGGAAUCUCGUGUAGAAAGGAUGGUAAAGAAAGAUUUUGGUGUGUUGGCCUUUAUAAAUCAGAGCAUUGUGUAUAGAAGUUGGGUUGUAAUGUUAAAUUGUACAAGGUAUUGGUGAGGUCAAUUGUGGAGUAUGGUGCAUAAUUUUGGUAGGCAUAAUUAUAGGAAAAAGGUUAAAAUAGAGAGUACAGAGGAGAUCAAUUAGAAUGUUGACUGGGUUUCAGCAACUAAGAUACAGAGAAAGGUUGAACAAGUUAGUUUUUUUAUUAUUUGGGAAAGAGAAGGAAUACCCACCAUGGUAAUGAUGUUUUCUUAAGGAACUGUUUACUGGCAGUAUCUCAUUCUAUUACAGAAUUAAAAACCAAGGAGCUGUUGGCACAGAGUCCCCAUCUCGACUUGCCAAUCCAUUCUGUGAAAGCAGAGAACUGGGAUCUUGUAAAAUCAUGGAAGGAAGAAAAGCUGCAACCAAAGUGGACUGGACCCUACCUUGUGUUAUUAAUCACCGAGACAGCAGUACGAACAAAAGAAAAAGGGUGGACACACGCAAACCGAUUUAAGGGUCCUGUGGAGGCCCCACCAGACAAUAUCAGCCCGUAGACUGUGCGUGAAGGGAAGGAACCAUUGACUUUGUGCCUAUUCGGAUGUUGUAUUAUUCCCUGCGCUGGCCUUCAGAACACAGUAUGACUAGCGAGAGGAGGAUAGGGAGGCGAAGAAUCUGCUGCUAGCACUAGAAAAGGAAGAUAUAGUAUAAUUCAAAAGAUGCGUAGCAAAAAGAAAAAUGGUGGAUUGUGAGAGAAGGGUUAAUAGGGAUGAUUGAAUUAUACUAGAACUCUGAAAAAUAUAACUUAGAAAGAAAUGAGCUUAUCCGCAGAAGCCAGACUGCUAGUAGAAUAAAGUAACAAUAUACAGAACAGAGAGAAAUUCUAGAUAAAAAGUAGCAAACAGAUAACAACUUCAGCAGAAGGCCUUGGGAGUCUUGACGUCAGGAAAUGGUCCGAGACAUUCCUGGACUUUCUCGUGUGAAUGUGGGCUUUAUGUUAUGAUUGGACGAAACUCGAUGGGGAGACCUGAGGUAGUGACCACAGUGAAGAAGGGUAUAAAGAUAGAAAGCAUCUCCAUUUUCUUUGUGCCUCCAGGGGACAUCAGAGGAGAGACACCUAUUCUGCAGAAUAUGAAAUUAAUAAAAACACUUCUUUGUCUGAA
Molecule: long non-coding RNA, 2525 nt
Organism: Leucoraja erinaceus (little skate)
Lineage: Eukaryota; Metazoa; Chordata; Chondrichthyes; Rajiformes; Rajidae
Exons: 2
Source: RefSeq, a predicted model, not a curated record